UACGGAGACCUCGAGCGUUACUCGGAUUCACUGGGCGUAAAGGGUCCGCAGGUGGACUGGUGUGUCAAGGGUGAAAUCCCGGGGCUUAACUCCGGAACUGCCUUUGAAACUAUCAGACUAGAGACUCGGAGAGGUGAGCAGAAUUCCAGGUGUAGCGGUGAAAUGCGUAGAUAUCUGGAGGAAUACCAAAUGCGAAGGCAGCUCACUGGACGAGAUCUGACACUCAGGGACGAAAGCGUGGGGAGCAAAAGGG
This 253-nucleotide ribosomal RNA is filed under the name uncultured bacterium. Its description in RNAcentral is "partial 16S ribosomal RNA". It matches the Rfam family "Bacterial small subunit ribosomal RNA", at positions 524 to 776 of the family's 1533-position model. The record is from RNAcentral.